Long non-coding RNA from Dicentrarchus labrax (European seabass), 487 nucleotides. RefSeq lists it as uncharacterized. NCBI's taxonomy places the organism in Eukaryota, Metazoa, Chordata, Actinopteri, Moronidae. The record is from RefSeq and is a predicted model, not a curated record. The transcript is spliced from 2 exons.
AACCCCCGCCACAAUCUGGCGUUGUCGGCAGGAUCUACUCUUCCAACAGGCAAAGACGUGUGUUCCUUGUGGGUUUUAUUUUUUUUCCCUUGUGUUUUUUUCUCUGGUGUACUAAUGUUGUUUUUCUUGUAGGCAUCUGCACGAAUUUAAAGAGACAAAGCAGCAGUGGUUUCCAGUGGACCUUCGUGCCAGUUUUGUGGCUGCAGGCUGGUGGUGGUGCUGGUGACGUGGGUGGUGGUGUCCCUCCUUCUUGUGUGCUGUGCUUCCUUGGAUUCGGUGAUACCACAGUGUGUGACUGCCACGUGUGUCUGGGUGAACCCUUUUUCUUUAAUUUAAUUUUGUUGAGUCCCCUUCCCCUUCACCUGCUCUUUCCCCACCAGUAGGCCUCAGCCCCUGAUUAGGCUCCCUUUUUCAUUUAUUGGGAUGAAUGCUAUUUUUUAUAAUGAUAUAUAUAUUUAUUAAAUAAAGUAUUUUUGUAAACUGGGAA